RNAcentral lists this ribosomal RNA (261 nucleotides) under uncultured archaeon. RNAcentral describes it as "partial 16S ribosomal RNA". It matches the Rfam family "Archaeal small subunit ribosomal RNA", at positions 748 to 1009 of the family's 1478-position model. The record is from RNAcentral.
CAGCCCUAAACGAUGCGCGUUAGGUGUAUCGGUGACCACGAGUCACCGAGGUGCCGAAGGGAAACCGUGAAACGUGCCGCCUGGGAAGUACGGUCGCAAGGUUGAAACUUAAAGGAAUUGGCGGGGGAGCACCACAACGGGUGGAGCCUGCGGUUUAAUUGGACUCAACGCCGGGAAGCUCACCGGAUAAGACAGCGGAAUGAUUGCCGGGCUGAAGACCCUGCAUGACCAGCUGAGAGGAGGUGCAUGGCGUAGUCGUGU